This 31-nucleotide non-coding RNA is filed under the name Homo sapiens (human). The record is from RNAcentral. Lineage: Eukaryota; Metazoa; Chordata; Mammalia; Primates; Hominidae.
ACCAGGAAGAGAAAGUCCGCUCAGGAAGGGU